This is a long non-coding RNA of Archocentrus centrarchus (flier cichlid), 317 nucleotides long. RefSeq lists it as uncharacterized. The record is from RefSeq and is a predicted model, not a curated record. Lineage: Eukaryota; Metazoa; Chordata; Actinopteri; Cichliformes; Cichlidae. The transcript is spliced from 3 exons.
UGGAACUUUAAGGAGGCAAGGUGCUCUGCUAGAAUAAUGCAAUGAAUGGCAAGCUUGCCUGUUUCAAAGGCUCUGUAGUGUAUGUGGCAGUGUAAGGGGUGCCGGGUAGAAGUAUCAAGUAGGUCUGAACUUCUAAGACACUACAAAGUUAAACAUCCUCACUUUGGGCGCACUGCUAGAUUUCCAUGUACAUACUUUUCUUGUCCAUGCACAUUUAAAACAUGGAAUGCAUUAAUUUGCCACCAAAGUAGACUACACAGAAAUGUAACACAAAAAAAUCACUCAACUUUUACCUGUCAACUUUGUGAUUGUAAGAA